Molecule: ribosomal RNA, 460 nt
Filed under: uncultured bacterium
Lineage: Bacteria
Description: partial 16S ribosomal RNA
Rfam family: Bacterial small subunit ribosomal RNA
Source: RNAcentral
CCUACGGGGGGCAGCAGUGAGGAAUAUUGGUCAAUGGCCGGAAGGCUGAACCAGCCAUGCCGCGUGAAGGUCAGUGCCCUAUGGGCGUUAAACUUCUUUUGUGCGGGAGCAAUAAUGGUCACGUGUGGCCAGACGAGAGUACCGUACGAAUAAGCAUCGGCUAACUCCGUGCCAGCAGCCGCGGUAAUACGGGGGAUGCAAGCGUUAUCCGGAUUUAUUGGGUUGAAAGGGUGCGUAGGCUGUGAGGUAAGUCAGCGGUGAAAUGCCCCCGCUCAACGGGGUGAAGGGCCAUUGAUACUGCCUUGCUGGAAUGCGGAUGCGGAGGGAGGAAUGUGUGGUGUAGCGGUGAAAGGCAUAGAUAGCACACAGAACACCGAUUGCGAAGGCAUCUCACGAAUCCGCGAUUGACGCUGAUGCACGAAAGCGUGGGUAGCAAACAGGAUUAGAUACCCGAGUAGUC